AUCAUGGACAGCUAGAGAGGACAAGCAAUUCGA
RNAcentral lists this small RNA (33 nucleotides) under Arabidopsis thaliana (thale cress). RNAcentral describes it as "ATSL104440". Lineage: Eukaryota; Viridiplantae; Streptophyta; Magnoliopsida; Brassicales; Brassicaceae. The record is from RNAcentral.